UCGAACGGGAAAUACUUCAUUGAGACUUCGGUGGAUUUGAUCUAUUUCUAGUGGCGGACGGGUGAGUAACGCGUGGGUAACCUGCCUUAUACAGGGGGAUAACAGUCAGAAAUGGCUGCUAAUACCGCAUAAGCGCACAGAGCUGCAUGGCUCAGUGUGAAAAACUCCGGUGGUAUAAGAUGGACCCGCGUUGGAUUAGCUGGUUGGUGGGGUAACGGCCCACCAAGGCGACGAUCCAUAGCCGGCCUGAGAGGGUGAACGGCCACAUUGGGACUGAGACACGGCCCAGACUCCUACGGGAGGCAGCAGUGGGGAAUAUUGCACAAUGGGGGAAACCCUGAUGCAGCGACGCCGCGUGAAGGAAGAAGUAUCUCGGUAUGUAAACUUCUAUCAGCAGGGAAGACAGUGACGGUACCUGACUAAGAAGCCCCGGCUAACUACGUGCCAGCAGCCGCGGUAAUACGUAGGGGGCAAGCGUUAUCCGGAUUUACUGGGUGUAAAGGGAGCGUAGACGGUGUGGCAAGUCUGAUGUGAAAGGCAUGGGCUCAACCUGUGGACUGCAUUGGAAACUGUCAUACUUGAGUGCCGGAGGGGUAAGCGGAAUUCCUAGUGUAGCGGUGAAAUGCGUAGAUAUUAGGAGGAACACCAGUGGCGAAGGCGGCUUACUGG
Molecule: ribosomal RNA, 669 nt
Filed under: uncultured Lachnospiraceae bacterium
Lineage: Bacteria; Bacillati; Bacillota; Clostridia; Lachnospirales; Lachnospiraceae
Description: bacterial SSU rRNA
Rfam family: Bacterial small subunit ribosomal RNA
Source: RNAcentral